UUUAUUUAGUAUUAUCUUUUCGACUUAUCGAUCUGACGGAAGGAAGUUAGUAUGAAAGUUAGAACCGUGAUGGCGUGUUUGCUCUAGUGUGACAGAUAAUUCGUGUGAUAUUUUAAACUGUGAUUUGUGUUGGCGUUUCCAAUUUUGGUGAUGGGCUGUAAUUUCUUGUUACUUACAUUAAGCAGUACAUGAGAGCUUCAUCAGCCACGCCUUUAAGAUAUAACACUGGAAGAACAGCUGAAGAUUGUAAAGCGUUGUGCAGAGACUGAUCUGCUCUUCGUCGUGAUGCGAAUGGAGAUACCUGGUGACGUCAAGAUGGCUGCUUCAACGCGCGGAGACGGGAGGCAACGACCUCAGAAAAAUCAUGGUGUCCAGAGAUGUAUCCAUAUCUGUUACGAAUG
Zootermopsis nevadensis is the source of this 401-nucleotide non-coding RNA. The record is from RefSeq and is a predicted model, not a curated record. NCBI's taxonomy places the organism in Eukaryota, Metazoa, Arthropoda, Insecta, Blattodea, Termopsidae.